This 930-nucleotide long non-coding RNA is filed under the name Homo sapiens (human). RNAcentral describes it as "HSALNT0183744". Lineage: Eukaryota; Metazoa; Chordata; Mammalia; Primates; Hominidae. The record is from RNAcentral.
UGGAGAUGAGGGGAAUGGGGACUGUGUGUGUGGAGACAUGGCUUUCUGGGGAUGCUCUUCACAUUAGAUAGAAGAGAGGAUACAGUGAGGGUCACAGAGUUAGGGGAGGCUCUGAUGGCUCGCUUUCCUGGAGUGACAGCUGGCAGGCAGCUGUAGAGAGACAGUGUGUGUGUGUUAACAGCCACAGUGACUGGGUGUUUAUUGAAUUGCUGUGGAUUUUCUAAAAGCAAAGCAAGCAUACUAAAUUGCUGCAAAUUACCAAGGGCUUUCCUAAUGUUCGAUAAAAAUACUGUGAACAUUUAAGGACACAGGCUCUGAAAACAGUUCUGAAUGUGGUUGCAGGGCAGCUCUUGCACUGAGAACAAAUACUCUGGCUUGUCAAUACAAAUCAGUGGAGUUAGUAGAAUGGGGAUCACACCAGAAGCUGGACAUUGCAAACUCAGGGAAGCAUGAGGAAUUUCACUGCCUUCCAGCAAUUAAAUUGCAUUCAAGAAUUCUACAGUAGCCUUGGUGGUCUGCAACGACAUUUCAGGGAUUAGAUGCUCUAUCUCCUGUCUGCAGACACAUGAGCAGAACCCAGGAUGGAAGAAUGUAAUCACCAGCGUGACUCCAGUGAUGGAGAUGAACUAGAUGUGGAGACUGGGGAGCAGCAGAGUCAACUCAGUUAUCAUCUUGGCGGCCGGGCUGCCGUCCAGCUCACAGAAGCCACCUGAUCCGGAAAAGAUUUCCAAAGCCUGCUGGAGUAAGUUUGGCAGUGCUGUUUCCAUACAGGCAGAGGCCAGUGUCAUCUCCAGCACCUGGGGGACAUAAGAGAAAGAGCCAGUGGCCUCCAAGACAAUCUCAGGUGAAUACGCUUGACCCAGACGAGGGAAGGAUCACACAAACUCUCCGUUGAUGUAUGUGGCAGUUAAUAAAUCAUUUUCAAGAAGC